RNAcentral lists this ribosomal RNA (1168 nucleotides) under Salmonella enterica. RNAcentral describes it as "partial 23S ribosomal RNA". It matches the Rfam family "Bacterial large subunit ribosomal RNA", at positions 1017 to 2167 of the family's 2925-position model. Lineage: Bacteria; Pseudomonadati; Pseudomonadota; Gammaproteobacteria; Enterobacterales; Enterobacteriaceae. The record is from RNAcentral.
GGGAAACAACCCAGACCGCCAGCUAAGGUCCCAAAGUCAUGGUUAAGUGGGAAACGAUGUGGGAAGGCCCAGACAGCCAGGAUGUUGGCUUAGAAGCAGCCAUCAUUUAAAGAAAGCGUAAUAGCUCACUGGUCGAGUCGGCCUGCGCGGAAGAUGUAACGGGGCUAAACCAUGCACCGAAGCUGCGGCAGCGACACUCAGGUGUUGUUGGGUAGGGGAGCGUUCUGUAAGCCUGUGAAGGUGGCCUGUGAGGGUUGCUGGAGGUAUCAGAAGUGCGAAUGCUGACAUAAGUAACGAUAAAGCGGGUGAAAAGCCCGCUCGCCGGAAGACCAAGGGUUCCUGUCCAACGUUAAUCGGGGCAGGGUGAGUCGACCCCUAAGGCGAGGCCGAAAGGCGUAGUCGAUGGGAAACGGGUUAAUAUUCCCGUACUUGGUGUUACUGCGAAGGGGGGACGGAGAAGGCUAUGUUGGCCGGGCGACGGUUGUCCCGGUUUAAGCGUGUAGGUGUGUGUUCCAGGUAAAUCCGGUUCACUUUAACACUGAGGCGUGAUGACGAGGCACUACGGUGCUGAAGCAACAAAUGCCCUGCUUCCAGGAAAAGCCUCUAAGCAUCAGGUAACAUCAAAUCGUACCCCAAACCGACACAGGUGGUCAGGUAGAGAAUACCAAGGCGCUUGAGAGAACUCGGGUGAAGGAACUAGGCAAAAUGGUGCCGUAACUUCGGGAGAAGGCACGCUGACAUGUAGGUGAAGUGAUUUACUCAUGGAGCUGAAGUCAGUCGAAGAUACCAGCUGGCUGCAACUGUUUAUUAAAAACACAGCACUGUGCAAACACGAAAGUGGACGUAUACGGUGUGACGCCUGCCCGGUGCCGGAAGGUUAAUUGAUGGGGUCAGCGCAAGCGAAGCUCCUGAUCGAAGCCCCGGUAAACGGCGGCCGUAACUAUAACGGUCCUAAGGUAGCGAAAUUCCUUGUCGGGUAAGUUCCGACCUGCACGAAUGGCGUAAUGAUGGCCAGGCUGUCUCCACCCGAGACUCAGUGAAAUUGAACUCGCUGUGAAGAUGCAGUGUACCCGCGGCAAGACGGAAAGACCCCGUGAACCUUUACUAUAGCUUGACACUGAACAUUGAGCCUUGAUGUGUAGGAUAGGUGGGAGGCUUUGAAGUGUGG